This 495-nucleotide ribosomal RNA is filed under the name uncultured bacterium. Its description in RNAcentral is "partial 16S ribosomal RNA". It matches the Rfam family "Bacterial small subunit ribosomal RNA", at positions 28 to 507 of the family's 1533-position model. The record is from RNAcentral.
GACGAACGCUGGCGGCGUGCCUAAUACAUGCAAGUCGAACGCUGAAGGAGGAGCUUGCUUCUCUGGAUGAGUUGCGAACGGGUGAGUAACGCGUAGGUAACCUGCCUGGUAGCGGGGGAUAACUAUUGGAAACGAUAGCUAAUACCGCAUAAUAGUAGAUGUCGCAUGACAUUUGCUUAAAAGGUGCAAUUGCAUCACUACCAGAUGGACCUGCGUUGUAUUAGCUAGUUGGUGAGGUAACGGCUCACCAAGGCAACGAUACAUAGCCGACCUGAGAGGGUGAUCGGCCACACUGGGACUGAGACACGGCCCAGACUCCUACGGGAGGCAGCAGUAGGGAAUCUUCGGCAAUGGACGGAAGUCUGACCGAGCAACGCCGCGUGAGUGAAGAAGGGCUUCGGAUCGUAAAGCUCUGUUGUAAGAGAAGAACGAGUGUGAGAGUGGAAAGUUCACACUGUGACGGUAUCUUACCAGAAAGGGACGGCUAACUACGUG